AGAGUUUGAUCCUGGCUCAGAAUCAACGCUGGCGGCGUGCCUCAGACAUGCAAGUCGAACGCGAAAGGCCCCUUCGGGGGCCGAGUAGAGUGGCGCACGGGUGAGUAACACGUAGGUAAUCUACCUCUGGGUGGGGAAUAACGACCGGAAACGGUCGCUAAUACCGCAUAAUGCAGCGGCACCACAUGGUGACAGUUGUUAAAGCGGGGGAUCGUAAGACCUCGCGCCUAGAGAUGAGCCUGCGGCGGAUUAGCUAGUUGGCAGGGUAACGGCCUACCAAGGCGACGAUCCGUAGCCGGCCUGAGAGGGCGGACGGCCACACUGGCACUGACAUACGGGCCAGACUCCUACGGGAGGCAGCAGUCGGGAAUUUUGGGCAAUGGGCGAAAGCCUGACCCAGCAACGCCGCGUGAAGGAUGAAGCUUUU
This 427-nucleotide ribosomal RNA is filed under the name uncultured bacterium. Its description in RNAcentral is "bacterial SSU rRNA". It matches the Rfam family "Bacterial small subunit ribosomal RNA", at positions 8 to 418 of the family's 1533-position model. The record is from RNAcentral.